RNAcentral lists this transfer RNA (65 nucleotides) under Elimaea cheni. Its description in RNAcentral is "tRNA-Thr". It matches the Rfam family "tRNA". Rfam says of the family: Transfer RNA (tRNA) molecules are approximately 80 nucleotides in length. The record is from RNAcentral. Lineage: Eukaryota; Metazoa; Arthropoda; Insecta; Orthoptera; Tettigoniidae.
GUUUUAAUAGUUUAAAUAAAAUAUUGGUCUUGUAAACCAAGGAUAAGAUAUUCCCUUUUAAAACU